This 1510-nucleotide ribosomal RNA is filed under the name Triticum aestivum (bread wheat). Its description in RNAcentral is "partial small subunit ribosomal RNA". The record is from RNAcentral. Lineage: Eukaryota; Viridiplantae; Streptophyta; Magnoliopsida; Poales; Poaceae.
CAGUUUGAACAACCUUAGUAACGAAGUUAGGCAUCUGGAUGCAUCAUGAAGUGAAAACGUCACGCAAGUACAAUCGAAUGUCAUUUACUUUCUUAGAAGGUGUUGUGACUGUCGACCUGACCCAUUUACUUACGUAAGUCUUCCUUGAACCCUUUCGACGUAUACUCAAGGCUUCUUUACAAGGUUGUAAGAAUCUCGUAGAGGUCGACUGCGUAGUUCAAAAACCGGUCACUACCCGCGGCCGCGUGGCCGGGUUUAAACCCGGCCAGGAUUAGGGUGGCAUGCUAGUCUAAGGGAUAUUGGCAGACUACGCGAAUAAGGAGCAGGGGUAAUAGACGUUGGUCUUUUUUUUUGUUUCGCUAGUGUAGAGGCGCGUUUUUUCUCCCAGCUCCAGUUGCGGGCGCAGUCUAGUAGGAGGGGGCGGGGGCAGUCUAGCAGGAGGGGACCGGUGGCGAGAUUGACGUAGUGCCUCGAGCAGCGGCGGCGGCAUCGGCAGCGUUGAGCGGCAGUAGUGGCAACUUCGAGGAGCGGCAUCAACAAGGGACGGAGCGGCAGCACCCAACGUUGGAACAGGCAGCGACAACACCGGUACAAGCAGCUCGAGACCGUCCCAUGACGGGUACCGACGGCCCAGACACGGCACCAGCCAACUUCAUUAGCAGUUUGUGCCAACAUCGUGGGGAGGUAUUGCCAACAUCGUGGGUGAGCCUGUCACGAGACAAGCAACUCGAGGCCGCUCCCAUUGGCGGGAACCGGCGAACCUGCCACGGCACCGUCCAACUUCGUUAGCGGCUGGUGCCAACAUCGUGGUUGGUAUUGCCAACAUCGUGGGGUAAGUUAGUAUCGAGGUCGUUUUUAUUCUACCAAGAUCGUUUUUGUACCAAUGUUGUUUGUUUUCCAUACCAAGGUCGUUUUUGUCUCAUACCAAGGUCGUUUUUUGUACCAAAGCGUAUCGUAACCGUUACUGGUUCUUUUGUUUUUUUUAUGUACCAAGGUCGUUUUUGUUUCAUACCAAGGUCGUUUUUGUUUUUUUUUACCAAAGCGUAUCGUAACCGUUACUGGCUGUUUUGUUUUUUUUAUGUACCAAGGUCGUUUGUUUUUUGUACCAAGGUCGUUUUUGUUUCACACCAAGGUCGUUUUUGUUUGUCUAACGGCAGCGACCUAGCGUCGUUUUUUUAACCAGGCAAGGUCGUUUUUUUGACCCAGCGGCGGCUAGGCAUCAACGGCCGGGGUCGUCGUGCGUGGUGGCCAACGUUGUAGGGCCGCCCGACGAGGGUCGCGCGUGGUGGCCACGACCGCACACCCAGAACAUCGAGAGUAGGUUAGGUAGGUACCACUACAAACGAUCUACUUCUUCUACCCCCUUCGUCCUCCCAACACCUCUUCUCUCGCUACCGCCUCCUCGUCGUGGCCUCUGGUUUCGCACACCCCCUCCUCGUCGUAGCCUCUGGUUUCAAACCCCGCUACCUCGCUACCUCGUCGCACUCUUCUCUAUCUACUCUCCUCCUUC